UCUUGAGAAGUAAAGAACGAC
RNAcentral lists this microRNA (21 nucleotides) under Populus trichocarpa (black cottonwood). Its description in RNAcentral is "ptc-miR6475". Lineage: Eukaryota; Viridiplantae; Streptophyta; Magnoliopsida; Malpighiales; Salicaceae. The record is from miRBase by way of RNAcentral.